GGAAUAUUGGACAAUGGGCGAAAGCCUGAUCCAGCAAUGCCGCGUGAGUGAUGAAGGCCCUAGGGUUGUAAAGCUCUUUUACCCGGGAUGAUAAUGACAGUACCGGGAGAAUCAGCCCCGGCUAACUCCGUGCCAGCAGCCGCGGUAAUACGGAGGGGGCUAGCGUUGUUCGGAAUUACUGGGCGUAAAGCGCGCGUAGGCGGCUUUGCAAGUUAGAGGUGAAAGCCCGGAGCUUAACUCCGGAACUGCCUUUAAAACUGCAUCGCUAGAAUCAUGGAGAGGUUAGUGGAAUUCCGAGUGUAGAGGUGAAAUUCGUAGAUAUUCGGAAGAACACCAGUGGCGAAGGCGACUCACUGGACACGUAUUGACGCUGAGGUGCGAAAGCGUGGGGAGCAAAC
RNAcentral lists this ribosomal RNA (398 nucleotides) under uncultured bacterium. RNAcentral describes it as "bacterial SSU rRNA". It matches the Rfam family "Bacterial small subunit ribosomal RNA", at positions 358 to 773 of the family's 1533-position model. The record is from RNAcentral.